RNAcentral lists this long non-coding RNA (9787 nucleotides) under Homo sapiens (human). RNAcentral describes it as "HSALNT0228975". The stretch from base 2352 to 2499 matches the Rfam family "Metazoan signal recognition particle RNA". The record is from RNAcentral. Lineage: Eukaryota; Metazoa; Chordata; Mammalia; Primates; Hominidae.
AGGUCAGCCACCUGCAGCCAAGGAGAGAGGCCUCUGAGGAAACCAACCCUGCCAGCACUUUGAUCUUGAACUUCCAGCCUCCAGAACUGUGAGAAAGUAUAUUCCUGUUGUUUAAGCCACCCAGUCUAUGGCAUUUUGUUUUGGCAGCUUUAGCAGACUAAUAUACUUCCCCAUUCCCCCACAGUGCUUCCUGGGGUCAAUUCUCAGAUAAAUGAUUUGCACUUUAAUCCUUAUCUCAGGGGCCAGGUGGGAGGGGGCUCACGCCUGUAAUCCCAGCACUUUGGGAAGCCGAGGUGGGCAGAUCACCUGAGGUCAGGAGUUCAAGAGCAGCCUGACCAACAUAGUGAAACAUCGUCUCCACUAACUUUACAAAAUGUAGCUGGGUGGGGCGGCACAUUGCUGUAGUCCCAGCUACUCAGGAGGCUGAGGCAGGAGAAUCCCUUGAACCCGGGAGGUGGAGGUUGCAGUGAACUGAGAUCGUGCCACUGCACUACAGCCUGGGUGACAGAGUGACUUCGUCUAAAAAAAAAAAAAUUAUCUCAGGAAACCAACUCGCAGACCAACAACGCAUAUAUGGUGGGACAUAGACCCCAAGUAAGAGUGAAGCGAAGACUCAACUUUAACCACCACCCUCUAAGUUUCUUUUGAGGAGCUUGGAGAACGUCACUCCCUGUGGGUCUAAGUGGUACAGGCGCUAAAAAAUUAUUUAGGCAGAUAGUGAGGGUAAGGAAGUCCUCGGCUGUUUCCCUUUUAACAAAAAGCAGUCCCUAAAUCAUUUAUUUUCUAACAAAGAGCAGCCUGUAAAAUCGAGCUGCAGACAUAGAUAAGCAAGCUGGAAGCUUGCAUGGGUGAAUGCAGCAGCUGUGCCAAUAGGAAAAGGCUACGUGGCGGCCAGGCAUGUUCAACAUGGCGGCUCCAUCUUCCCUUUUCUUUGUCAACUAGGUGUACAGUAAGGAACCGACAACAUCACACCGGCCAGGUAGAGAAGCCAUUUGCAUAAUAGAAGAUUAGGGUGGGGUGGCCAGCUUCUUUGCGCGCUUUGUAAACAUCACACCUAGUCCACCAAUCUUUGGGCCCUAUGUAAAUUAGACAACACCUCCUCAAGCCAGUCUAUAAACCCUCCCCUCCCCGCACAUGCAUUUCACCGCAAAACCCAAAGACCCACUUAGGUGUCCCCUCUCUCCGCAGAAGAGAGAGCUUUUCCCUUUCUCUCUGUUAAACCUCUUCUCUUAAACUCACUUCUUGCGUGUCCUCGUCCUCGAUUUCCUUGGCGUAAGACGACGAACCUCAGGCAUUUACCCCAGACAACGAAGGUGCUUCAUAAGGUCAUGCAGCUGGGUCAACAUAGGACUGUGUAGCCAAGAGCUACAGGAUGGAUUGCUGAGGCCAGGGAGAUUGAAAGGAAGUCACAGCCCAAUCUCAGAGGGAUCCACGGAGCCAGCGAAAGCUAAGGCGGGACUUACCCAACAGAGGGUCCUGGCCCAGUCACCCAGUGGCACAACCCAACUGGGAGAUCUGAGCAUCUACCAACUGUGGCCACCAAGGCCAGCAGAAGUCUCAGUGAUCGGGCAGGACAAAGGACAUUUCUGCAGAGAAUACUGAAGGUCCAGGAGACAGCACAGUGGGACAUAUGUGGGCCCCUGCCCCAUCAUUAGGAGGAAGUGUAGGCUUUUCUGAGGACCUGGAUGCCAUACCAUCUUGAGACAGAGAAUGAGGAACCAACCCUUGACAAGAGAGAGAUGGCCCUGGUAGAGAAUUUGAACCUUGAAUUGGAUUGAAUAUUUAUCCAAAAGAAAUUGAACCAGCACUAGAGAGACUGUUUUGAACUAGAAGUAACCAAGUUACCUUAACUGGAAGUUAGGAUUUUUCCACCCCUGACAUCAGUGGGACAAGGGCACAUGAGCAAGAUAUUUACGGACAAAGAAGAACGUUCAUGUUUUGUACACCUGCUUUGUAGUAUGUUGCAGAUACCGUUGGUUCCCCUGAUUUCAGGUGUUCUCGUUCUUUCUGUACAGUCACUUGCUCAGGGCAAAUGGUCCUCUCCUGCAUGACUCAGAAGCACAUACUGAUUAUUCUAAACUGGUCUUCAUGCCCCGUUCCCUUGUCAGUGAUGUAGUUAGGCAAAGGAUUAUGUAACAAUUCUGGCUAUGAGACAUUGAAACUUCUACUGUGGGGCAUCUGGGAAGAUUUUUCUCAUUGAAAAGAAGAGACGCAGGGUGUGGAGACUCAUGCCUGUAAUCCGAGCCCUUGGGAGGCCCAGGAGGGAGGGUCACCUGAGUCCAAGAGCUCAAGGCCAGUUCGAGCAACAUACCAAGGCUGCAAUAAACAAGCAAACAAACAAACAAACAUUAGCUGGGCACGGUAGUGCACACCUGUAGUCCCAGCUACUCAGGAGGCUGAAAUGGGAGGAUUGCUUGAGCCCAGGAGUUUGAGGCUGCAGUGAGCUAUGAUUGCACCACUGCACUUCAGCCUGGGCAACAGAGCGAGAUCCUGUCUCUAUAAAAAAAUUUUAAAAAAAGGAAGAAAAGAAAAGAAGAGACACACGUGGAAGAAACAGUCUCUAUUCUGAUGCAAGUAAUGACUGGAACUGUGGCAGACAGCUUGGAACCAUGAGAGGAGUUAACUGAGGGCUAUCAGGGAAACUAGAAGAAGCCUGGGUCCUUGAGGAGGCAGACUACUAAAUGGACCAUCGUCCCUUCACCCUUUUUGUUAUGUGAGAUAAUAAACUCUCUAAUUUAAAUCUACUUGAGAUGAAUAUCUGAUACUUGUAGCCAAAAUCAUCCUUAAUGGGACAGAGUGUGGGUAAAUUAUCAACCUUGCUAGCCUUGCCUCAUAAUUUUUGAAUUUAUUUUUAUCUUUUAAUUUUGUUUAUUUUUUAUUUUUAAAGUAGAGACAGGAUCUCAUUAUGUUGCUCAGGCUGGUCUCGAAUCCCUGGCCUCAAGGGAUCCUCCUGCCUCAGCCUCCUAAAGUGCUGAGAUUACAGGUAUGAGCCCCUAUGCCAGGCCAUUGCUUUGCCAUUGUAUCCAUGUGAUUGCAAAAAAGAAAAUCGUGCUAAUAGUCAUUAGCUUUGAAAGACACUUGGAAUUUCUUCCUUCAAGCGAGCUUUAUUCCCAAACUGUUGAACCCUCUGGGUUUGACAGCAGGAUCUACUUCACAUGGUAGCAUCUCCUUCUAUUUGCCUUCAAGACAUUUCCUAAGGGAAGAGAUGAAGACACACUUGUAACGUGAACAAAAUAAUCCUUUUUCCUUUUAAAAAUGUAUGAUUAAAAUGUAAAAUAUAUAUAUAUAUUCUUAAAUGUAAAAUAUAUAUAUAUAUCUUCUAGAGUUGCCUGGAAAGUGAGCUGAGAGCAGUUAAACAUCAAACCCACUGCUGCUUUCCAGCUUUAACCAGAAUCACCAUUGUCUUUCCCUAUGAAAGAAAGGAAAUCUUAGAACUUAAAAGGAUUUCAAGAAGAACUGAAUUUUAACCACUGAGAUGACCAGAGAUGUAAGGCUCACACUGACUGAAGCAGUAUAAUUUGGCUGUCUUUUUAACAUUCAGAAUUCUCUCUGACUCUCCAAAAUUGCAUCUACUUUGAUGAGCUUAUUUUUUUCCUCAACCAAAUUACAUUUCUUGGAGUUCACCUGAUACAUCAUGCCUACUUACUUUUUUUUUUAGAUGGAGUCUUGCUCUGUCACCCAGGCUGGAGUGCAGUGGUGCAAUCUCGGCUCAUUGCAACCUCUGCCUCCCAGGUUCAAGUGAUUCUCCUGCCUCAGCCCCCCAAGUAGCUGGGAUUACAGGUGCGUGCCACCACGCCCAGCUAAUUUUUGUAUUUUUAGUAGAGACAGGGUUUCGCCAUGUUGGUCAGGCUGGUCUCGAACUCCUGACCUCAAGUGACCCACCUGCCUUGGCCUCCCAAAGCGCUGGGAUUACAGGGGUAAGCCACCAUGUCCAGCCCUGCCUACUUACUUUGAACAAAUUAUUUCAGGCUAAUUUACUAGCUGGAGAGAAAGAGGGAGGGAAGCAGGGAGGAAGCAAAGAUAGAGGGAGAGAAAGAGAGGGAGACAGAGAGGAAGAGGGAGAGGGAGAGGAGAGAGAGAGAAAGAAUGAAUUGUGUUCUCCCAAAAUUAGUAUGUUGAAGUCUUAAUAUCCCAGUACCUCAGACUAUGACUGUAUCUGUAGAUAGGGCUUUUGAAAAGGUGAUUAUGUUUAAAUGAGGCCAUUGGGGUGGGCCCUAAUCCAGUCCAACUGUUGUCAUUGUAAGAAGAAGAGAUUAGGACACAGAGAUACCAGGCAUGUGCGUGCCCAGACAGACAACUAUGUGAAGAGACAACAAUAGGUCAGCCAUCUGCAAGCUGAGGAGAGAGGCCUCAGAGGAAACCAACCCUGCCGGCACCUUGAUCUUGGAGUUCCAGCCUCCAGAACUUGCUGCUUGAGCAUCCACACAACAUGGCGCUAGCUUCCCCCAGAGUGAGUAAUCCAGAAUGAAGAAGACAGAAACCACAAUAUCCUUUAUGAACUGGCCUUAUAAGUAAUAUUUUGUCAUUUCCAUAAAGUCCUAUUGGUUACACAAGACUGCCGUAUUCAAUAUAAGAGUGACAACACAUGGGGAUAAAUACUUGGAGGUGUAAAUCAUUGGGAACCAUCCUGGAAGUUGCCUACAAUACUAGGAUCUAUGGCUACAAUUCCCUGGGUCUUGGCUUCAAGACAGAGAAAAGGGAAAGAACAUGAAACAGCCCCAUGUGGUUUUUGUUUUUUUUUUAAUGGACAAGAGUAAGAAAUGGUGAACAUUUCUUCUACUCAUAUUCUACAGUUAGAAUUUGGUCACAUAAUGUAUCUAACUAUGAAGGUAGCUAGGUAAUAUCAUCUCUUGUUGGGAGGGUAGCUGGGAAUACCUCUAUACAAUGGAAGGAAGAGCAUGAACUUUUGGUGGAGAGAUAAUGCUCUCUGCCAUGAUAAAAUGAAAAAAAUAACAUAUGCAGAAUGGUCAACAUAACAGCAUGAAGCAAAUGCACAAUGAAUGAUAAUCAUAAUAUAGUGCUCUUUUGAUAAUCUAGUGCAUACCCAGAACCUGGGAGGUAUUUGGUUUUAAUACAUGUUUGUUGUAUGAAUACGUGAGUUAAGGUAAUGGAUGCAAAAAUGGUAUAAAUAGGAGGAAUUAUAAUUGAUAUUUCUUGAGUUAGCAUGUUUCAUUGGCUAUCUUUAUGGAGGUCCAGACCCUCCUCCGAAGGUGGAUAUUACUGUUCCGAUUUCAAUUGGUCAAAUAGAGACCAAGAGACUUUAGGCAACUUGUUUUAGAUUUGGCACUGAAUGGCGGGAAAGUGCAGAUUUUCUGAGUACUAUGUCUGGGCUCUUUGCUAUAAGCACUAUUGAUUUGAAUGGAUAAGAACAGAAAAGUCCUUUGCUCAGAGGAGAAUCAGGGCCACUGUAUCAGUCAGGGUCCAAUCAAGAGGCAGAAACUAUACCAGUUAUUUAAUUUCAUUUAUUUAUUUAUUAUUAUUUUUUAGAGAUGUGGUCUUGCUGUGUUGCUCAGGCUGUUCUCGAACUCCUGGGCUCAAGCAAUCCACCUGCCUUGACCUCCCAAACUGCUGGGAUUACAGGUGUGAGCCACUGUGCCUGGCCCCGUACCAGUUAUUUUAACAGAGAGAAUUUAGUAUGGCCCAGGCGCAGUGGUUCAAGCCUGUAAUCCCAGCACUUUGUGAGGCUGAGCAGGGAGGAUCACUUGGACCCAGGAGUUUGAGACCAGCCUGGGCAACAUAUUGAGAGUCCACUUAAGAAAAAGAAUUUAAUAUAAAGAACUUUUUUCUUUUCUUUUUUUUUUUUUUGAGAUAGAUGGAGUCUCACUCUGUUGCCCAGGCUGGAGUGCUGUGGCGUGAUCCCAGCUCACCGCAACAUACGCCUCCUGGAAUCAAGCACCUCUCCCGCCUCAGCCUCCGGAGCAGCUGGGAUUACAGGCACUCGCUAACACGCCUGGCUAAUUUUUGUAUUUUAGUAGAGGCAGGGUUUCACCAUGUUGACCAGGCUGGUCUCAAACUGCUGACCUCAAGUGAUCCCCUGUCCUCGGGCUCCCAAAGUGCUGGGAUUACAGGCAUGAGCCACCACGCCUGGCCGAGAAUUGUUAACUAGGAAUCAAGUUGAUAACCAGGCAACUAAAAAGGAAAAAAAAACAACAAAACAAAACCAACCCAACAACAAUAUUAAUGUAUCACAGAAGAAGCAACUGAAGGAAACAGCUAUACUCAGAGGUCUGGGGGAACAAUGAGAAAAGGUUGGCAUUAACACUUAGAAUCAGCCAAGUGCAGUGGCUCAUAUCUGUAAUCCCAGAGACUCAGGAGACCAAGGUGGGAGGAUUGCUUGAAGCCAGGAGUUUGAGACUAGACUGGGCAACAUAGUGAGACCCUGUCUCUACAAAACAUAAUAAAAUUGGCCAGGCAGAGUGGCAUUCACCUGUGGUCCCAGCUACUCGGGAGGUUGAGGUAGGAGGAUCACUAGAGCCCAGUUACAGUGAGUAUGACUCACUGUAACUACACUCCACUACACUCCAGCCUGGGAGACAGAGUGAGACCCUGUCUCAAACAAACAAACAAACAAACCAAAAAAUCACUAGAAUAAUAGGAGAAAAGUGCCCUGCAAACUGAAACUCAGAUCUCUAAGGAGGGACGGGGGUUGGAGUCUUUGAGGGGUGCAAUUAGACUGGUUCUGCCAGUGUUAGGAAAACUGCAAACUGGAUUGAGAUGCUGCUAUGGGAAGGAACUGCCAUUGCAGGAGAAAGGAAGCCUUGCUAGGAGAGUGUUCACAGGAACAGAAAGAGCAAGUUCCUUUUUCCUCCAGCCUUGCAGUUCCCCUCUAACACCCCCAUGGGUAGAACCUCACAGGAAGCAGCUGGAACAGCAGAAAUAUGCUUUUCCCAAUUCCAACUCUUGUAUCACAAAGCAGAAUACAGAAGGUUGGGUUUGGAGUUGAGAGAUAACAACUAAAUAAUAGCUGGCACAAGGCCCACCUGAUCAGAAAUUAAUCUCACCUCCUUGGGGAUAAGGGCUUUGGGUGGGAGGAAAGGAGGCUCUUGAACUCAUGGGCAUUGAGCACGUGACUAGUUGUCUUAGAGAAAAUGUGCCACCCUGCAGGGCCGCCUGAAAGCUUGUACAAGUGCCUGAGGAAAGCCGGAUUUGGCAGGCUGCAACCACGGUGGAUGACAGCUGAAGGAGAAUUACAGCAGCAGCAGUUAAGUAGAAGAUGUUCACACUUCCUCGCUCUGCAUCUUUCUUCCUGGAGCCCAACACCUCGGAGGAGAAUGGGAAACCCAGAAGAAGGAGUGGGAAGUAGGGUUGCCACAUAAAAUAUAGGACUCUCAGUUACAUUUGAAUUUCAGAUAAGCAGCAGAUUAUUUCUUAGUAUAAGUAUGUGCCAGUAUGUGUGUAUGUGCACACAUAUGUGCACAUGUAUGCAUGCAUCAGCUAGAUUCUGCAACCAUCAGAGAAAUAGACAAAGGUCCUUUUGACCAGUGGUCAAACUGAGCUAUGAGGAGAAGAUCUUGAAAUUGCAUGUGAUAUUGAAGCUUUAAACUUACUGAGUUGCUUGUGUUAGGCUUUUAAAUACCGUAAUGGGACUAAAAACUAUGUUUCUAAGAGAGAGGAAUAUUUGGGAGUACAGCUGACCCUUGAACAAUGCAAGGCUUAGAGGCAUUGUCAAAAAUCCACAUGUAACUUUUGACUCCACAAACAUUUAACUAUUUUUCUUGUCUUUUUUCUUUUUUUUUUUUUGAGAUGGAGUCUCACUCUGUCUCCCAGGCUGGAGUGCAGUGGGGUGAUCUCAGCUCACUGCAACCUUCACCUCCCAGGUUCAAGCAAUUCUCAAGCCUCAGCCUCCUGAGUAGCUGGGAUUACAGGUGUGCACAAAGAUGCCUGGCUAAUUUUUGUAUUUUCAGUAGAGAUGGGGUUUCACCAUGCUGGCCAGGCUGGUCUUGGACUCCUGACCUCACGUGAUCUGCCCACCUUGGCCUCCCAAAGUGCUGGGAUUACAGGCAUGAGCCACGGCAUCUGCCCAAAAACUGAACUAUUAGUAGCCUACUGUUGACUGGAAGUCUUACUGAUAACAUAGUCAAUUAACACAUGUUUUGUGUUAUAUGUAUUAUAUACUAUAUUCUUACAAUAAAGCAAGCUAGAGAAAAUAGAAUAUUAAGAAAAUCAUAAGGAAAAUAUAUUUAGGAUUCUUUUUUUUUUGAGAUGGAGUCUUGCUGUGUCACCCAGGCUGGAAUGCAGUGGUCAGCCUUCCAACGUGCUGAGAUUACAGGCGUGAGCCACUAUGCCCGGCCAUAUUUACUAUUCAUUAAGUGGAAGCGGAUCAUCAUAGAUGACUUCAUCCUCAUCCUCUUCACACUGAAUAGGGUGAAGAGGAGGAGGAAGAGGAGGGGUUGGUCUCACUGUCUCAAGGGUGGCAGAGGCAGAAGAAAAUCCAGGUAGAAGUGGACCCAAGCAGUUCAAAUCCAUGCUGUUCAGGGGUCAACUGGGUCAACUGUGUAGUUAAAGGUAGUGAGUAGUUGGAGAAAAAUGAAACUGCUUUCGUGUUUAUACCUUCACUGAGUUCAGACCUCGUAAUAAACUGGGUAUCUGUAUGUGUGACAAACAAUAGAGGAGAUGUGUGUGCAGGGUGUUCAAGGGGCUUUUGCAUCUUUGCUGGUGAUCACAAAUAGGGCUUUAAUUCUUGGACUUGAAGAGCUGCAGGAGCCAUUGAAAGGAUACAUGGAGCUAGUUGAAUACCACAUUAUCAUUUAGCAAGUGAUAUUUAGCUCUAUUCCUGUGGAUGAACCCUGAUUAGGAUCUUAAGUUUGUAUGUUGUUGGAGAUUAUUCUUGUUUGUCUUGGAAAUGAACAUUCAUUCAUUCGUUCUGGUGCCUAGCAUAGACAAUAAAUCACAAUUCAAAUAAUGAAAAAUUAUAUAUUUAUUUAUUAAGCAUCUACUGCAUGUAGGUUCUGUGUUAGAUGCACAAAAAUGAAUACCAUAAAAUCCUUUACUAAAACGCCAUUCCUGUCUUUGAGUGGAAAAUGUAGCAGCUACGGGAAUUAAGUUAUAUGGUAGCAUGUGUGGUUACCUACUUGACGGAGACAGAAUCCACAUUAUCAGGUGUGGUCAGAUGAGGGAUUCUCUGCCUGGAGAAGUUGUCAUGGACAAGGUAGGAUUUAAUUUAGGUUGUAAAAGAAUACCAGGAUUUAGGGACUCCUAAAGACAGAGACUGUAUAUCCCUCAUCAGAUCAGCCACUCUUUUCUUUUUUUUUUUUUUUUUUUUUGAGACAGUUUCGCUCUUGUUGCCCAGGCUUGAUUGCAAUGGUGCGAUCUCGGCUCACUGCAACCUCCACCUCCUGGGUUCAAGCGAUUCUCCUGCCUCAGCCUCCCGAGUAACUGGACUACAGGCGCCUGCCACCACACCCAGCUAAUUUUUUGUAUGUUUAGUAGAGGUGGGGUUUCACUAUGUUGGCCAGGCUGGUCUCGAACUCCUGACCUCAGACAAUCCCCCCGCCUCGGCCUCCCAAAGUGCUGGGAUUACAGGCGUGAGCCACUGUGCCCAGCCAACCAGAUCAGCCAUUCUAAGGCCAAGAGUUGCAUUACUCUUUUCUCUGUUUCUUGGAAACAUGACUGGAGGACUUGCUGUAAAAAAUAUUAAGACUUAUUAUGAUAAAGCUAUGGUAAUAACAAGGUGUAGUGUUAGAAUGAACCUGGGCAACAUGGCAAAAUCUUGUCUGUGAAAAAUAUCAAAAAUUAGGUCAGGUGCGGUGGCUCACGCCUGUAAUCCCAGCACUUUGGGAGUCUGAGG